AUUGAACGCUGGCGGCAGGCCUAACACAUGCACGUCGAACGAGUUGCGGACGGGUGAGUAAUGUCUGGGAAACUGCCUGAUGGAGGGGGAUAACUAAUGGAAAAGGUAGCUAAUACCGCAUACCAUCGGAUGUGCCCAGAUGGGAUUCGCUAGUAGGUGGGGUAAAGGCUCACCAAGGCGACGAUCCCUCGCUGGUCUGAGAGGCUGACCAGCCACACUGGAACUGAGACACGGUCCAGACUCCUACGGGAGGAAGCAGUGGGGAAUAUUGCACAAUGGGCGCAAGCCUGAUGCAGCCAUGCCGCGUGUAUGAAGAAGGCCUUCGGGUUGUAAAGUACUUUCAGCGGGGAGGCGUUACCCGCAGAAGAAGCACCGGCUAACUCCGUGCCAGCCGCCGCGGUAAUUC
RNAcentral lists this ribosomal RNA (406 nucleotides) under uncultured bacterium. Its description in RNAcentral is "partial 16S ribosomal RNA". It matches the Rfam family "Bacterial small subunit ribosomal RNA", at positions 30 to 526 of the family's 1533-position model. The record is from RNAcentral.